AUGGCAUCUCAUCUCGAAGCUCUCUCUUCUCCAUAGCAUCUCGAAGCUCUCUUCUCCAUAGCAUCUCGAGCUUGGCCAAACCCAUCUCUUCCUUUUCUCCAUGAGGUAAUUGUCUCUGUUCUAAACAUGUUUUCUGUUUAUAUGUUGAAAACGGCAAAAGAGAACAUUUGAAAAUUGGCUUUUUAUAUGUUGGAUUUGAGACUUACAUUUGAAGAGCGUUCCUUUGCUCUCAGUAAUGUUCUUAAGCCAAUUACAUUUUUUUAUUUAAAAUACAAUUUUACAAAUGUUUUAAAAUAAAAUAUGAAGAAAUAAAAAUGGCCACAGCUUCUAUCAAACGAACAACCCAAAAAUCUGUUUCCUGGGUCGACGUCAGCGUCAACUUCCUGGUCUUCUAAACGAACGAUAAUCUGCAUCGGCGUCAGCGUCGGCGUCCACGAAACGAACAACAACUAUUUUCAUUGAAAACUGCGGCAACCAAACGAACAUUACCUAGGUGUAAUUUCAUCAUCUUCUUCUUCUUCUUUUCUUCGUUGUUGAGACACGAGAGUUUGUUUCUUCCUUUGGUUUUAUCCAAUAAACUAAAGAAUAAUUGCUUUAUAAACGACCCCAUAGCUUCUGUUGGCGUUGUAAGGAGAAGACGAAAACAACUACGGUAAGUGUCUGAAUCAACCACAACCGAAAGACUUUGAAAUAGAAAAACAAUAAACCUAGUUUUUUUUUUUAUGGGAAGCAACAACGAGCGAAUGAAUGGAUAAUCGGUGAGUGAUUAACGAUCCUUUGUAUUUAUAAUGGAGCCUUGGAGUUGGGUAAGGAAAAAAAAAAGGAAAAAUUUCAAAGUGAUUUUCCAUUUCUCUAAUCACUAUGUGCGUGUUAAGUUUUAACGCCUAAUUCUAGUUUUUAUGAUUAAUUGACUACUAGGUGUUUUGUCCGCACAUGCAGGUAUAAUCAUCUUACGAAUACUUAUUAUUUUAUGUCUUAUUAAUCUAAAAAUCGGCAUUAUAAACUCUAAUUGGUGAACAUGUUGAAGGAAUGAAUUUAUAGUGAAUUUUUUGUUCCUCAAAAUGUAUACCAAUUAUGUUAAAAUUUUAGUCAAAUUAUUGAAAGGUAGAUCCCACUUUUUUUUUCUAAAUUCCCCAUGGAAAAAAGAAUUUAUAAUAAAAAAAAAAAUCUCUAUGCAAUUUUGAUAAGGAACAAAUUGAAUAAAAAUCAUAUUUUUUUUUCAACUCCUCAAAAGAAAUUUUAUUUUUUAUUUUUUUUAUUUUUUUCAUUCUUCUAGUGGUCACCAACCGAAUCUAUAGUGUUUCACGGAUUAAACUGGCUUAAAGUAAAAGCAAGAUUAUUUGUUUUGAAUUCAGUCACAAGUUAAGUUAUUAUUUAUGAUUUUAAAUAGUUAAAUAAAACAUCAAAUUAUUUAUAUAUGUCAAAAAACGUUCAUCAAACUAUGUACUUGUUACUGUGUUAAAAGUUUUAAAAACUCAUAUUUUAGAAAUAGUAUAGAAAAUAUCUUUAUAUAAAUAUUUUUGUUUGACUAAUAUUUAAUUAUAAACUGUUUUAUAUCUUAGUUUUUAAUUUUAUAAUAAAAAAUAUUAUUUUUAGAUAGCAACACAAUAUAUAUAAGGAUUCUCUUAAUUUUUAAAUAUAUUUUUACAAUUUUAUUAUAUUAGUUUAUAAUUAAUUAUUUAAUAUAACAUAUAAAUUUAAUAUUAUUAAAAUAAAAUGCGUGUUUUAUUAUAUUUUAAAUUCAUUACGAGUUUUGUAAAAAUUAAUAAAUACUCAGUUAAAAACUAAUAAUAAAUCAAUGAAUUAUAUAAAAACUUAAAACCUAAUAAAAUAUGAAAAAUAAGAAUUUUAAUAUAAAAUAUAGAUUUUUUUUUUCUGUCAACAUAUUUUCAUUAAGACCCAUAAUGGGUAUAGUUUGGUUUAGGUACAAGAUGGUUAGGAACAAACCACAAGCAACGUAAAAGAUAAGAUUGAGACAAAAUAAGUGGAGUCCACGUGUUGCAAAAACUGUGGCUUGCAAAGGACUCCAGAAGUCUCCACCUCUUUCAAACUCGCCGUUCCAAUCAGAUCGUGUUACAGUGCUUUUUCGGCGAUGCAGAUUAUAGUUUAACUCUUGCCGUGAAGCUCCAGAGAUUCCUUCUACCAAACAUGUACCGAAUUAAUCUCUUCGCAGUUGAUAACCGAAAGAAACCGAAAGGCGGAAGCUUUCUCCGGUAUAGUAGUCCUCCGUUGAUUGGUGAACAAGUACUCUCCGGAAACCUCAUCAAACUCGACGAAAAGCUCCGAAUCACCAUACUCUACCCCCAUCAACAACAUCAUCUCGAUCCUUCACUCAAGGAGAACCUAUGCUUCAAAGUAAAUCUUUAUGACAAAGCAAGGAUUUACACACGCAUGAGAGAUGGAACAAGCAGCCAAAAAGGAAG
RNAcentral lists this long non-coding RNA (2423 nucleotides) under Brassica napus (rape). Its description in RNAcentral is "long non-coding RNA (BNAP_LNC012246)". Lineage: Eukaryota; Viridiplantae; Streptophyta; Magnoliopsida; Brassicales; Brassicaceae. The record is from RNAcentral.